GGUAGUGUGUGGCCGAGCGGUCCAAGGCGCUGGAUUUAGGCUCCAGUCUCUUCGGAGGCAGGGUUCGAAUCACUCCGCUGCCA
RNAcentral lists this transfer RNA (83 nucleotides) under Anguilla anguilla (European eel). RNAcentral's name for it is "tRNA-Leu". It matches the Rfam family "tRNA". Rfam says of the family: Transfer RNA (tRNA) molecules are approximately 80 nucleotides in length. The record is from RNAcentral. Lineage: Eukaryota; Metazoa; Chordata; Actinopteri; Anguilliformes; Anguillidae.